UACUGAAACCUCUUUUGACAGAAUAUUCCAGACAAGUAGAUACCUGACCAAGGGGGACCUCAAGUGACUUCCCAGAAUUUCCAGCAACUCCUAAUGGACAGACUGGGGAUGGAGAGGGCCAAGCCUCAGGGUCUGACAGUACAAGGAACCUGUUCCACACAACCAUCUUCUUCACGAGAGCACUUACAACUGCUGCUGCAGGUGCCUGGUCACCUGGCAUCCUCUGUGGGGAUCGCCUUCACAGCCUGCAGCACAGCUCUGACCAUCCUCACCAGAGGCACAUGCUUGUCCUUCAGGGUGGAUCUGAUUUUUAAAAACAGCCAAGUUUUCUCUGAGGCUGGAGAAUAAGUUGAGGACCUAGCCGGGAAGCAGUAUUUCCAGUUAAAUACAAGGUGAAUGUGGGCAGACAUGGUGGAGGAUGUGCGCUCCUCCAAAAUGGUUCUGAAAGGUCAUUGUGAAGGAGAUACUUUUGCGGCAUGUGACAGAAGGAGACAUUUCUGGUGGCCACUAGAGCCCAGAUUACUGUUCCUGUCCAUUUGUGAAAAACAGGUAUUUGUACUCGUGGGAGUUUUCCCAGCCUGGUACUGGAGGCAUGAAACCUGCAUUUGCCUGAAAUACUGGGACAAGUGGUCUUGGCCUUGGGGAGCUUACAGUCUCCUCCCUGCCAACUAAUAUGCAAAGUUACCCGAUGAUACUCACUCAACACAGAUCAAGUGCAAAGGGCAAGGGGAAAUUCAGAAUCAAGUCAAGUUAGUUCAUCAGGGAAGGCUGCCUGGAGGAAAGGAGUUAUGAGUGGGCUGUAGGACAAACCCAACAGGACAUGGGGUGGAGGAGGAAAAGAAGAGAACUUCUCUCUUGAUUCUGAAACAGGAUGAGCAAACGAUAAGGCAGGUAGGAGACAGCUUUGUUGGCCUGGAAUAAAUACUUAGAUUGGAAAUCAGCAUGAUGUAUCCUCAGAGGCUGUGAGGAUGACUGAGCCUGGACUGCACAGGUUAGUGAGCCAUGGCUGGAGGUACUGCCAGGGCCAAGACAAGUGGGGAAGAGACCCCUGGGGAUCAGGAGAUAGAGAGGGACACAGGAUUGUGUGGAGGGGUAUUGGGAAGACUGAAGGCUUUGAGACCUUUAUCCUGACCAUCCCCUCAUCCACCCCUUCCAUGGACUGAAUUCUGUAUUUUAAAGCUAAAGGAACUUCAGUAAAUGAUCUGGUUUAGCCUUUCAUAUUCAGAGGGUAAGGUAUGACUUCCCCACUUCCCAGAUGAGGCCUCAACUUGGCCAAGCUCUCCUGGGAAGAACAGGCUGAGAAGGGCCCCAGGAGGCAGGUCUUUUGCCCUCUGGGGGUCACUUCUCCCUCACACAACAGGCCCCAAGCCUGGGUGCUUCCCAAGGCAGAACCUGAAGGAGGGGGCACCACAGUGCCGUCCUUUGAUUCUUUGCUCCUCCCCUUACCAGCUCUGUGACUUGAAGCAAGUUACUUAACCUCUCUGUGCCAUGGUUUUAUUAUCUGUAAAAGAGACCUACUCUGUGUCCUAUUAUUGAGAAUAAAAUGAAAUUUAUACCACAGAA
Molecule: long non-coding RNA, 1563 nt
Organism: Herpailurus yagouaroundi (jaguarundi)
Lineage: Eukaryota; Metazoa; Chordata; Mammalia; Carnivora; Felidae
Exons: 2
Source: RefSeq, a predicted model, not a curated record